GACGAACGCUGGCGGCGUGCUUAACACAUGCAAGUCGAACGGAAAGGCCCUGCUUUUGUGGGGUGCUCGAGUGGCGAACGGGUGAGUAACACGUGAGUAACCUGCCCUUGACUUUGGGAUAACUUCAGGAAACUGGGGCUAAUACCGGAUAGGAGCUCCUGCUGCAUGGUGGGGGUUGGAAAGUUUCGGCGGUUGGGGAUGGACUCGCGGCUUAUCAGCUUGUUGGUUGGGUAGUGGCUUACCAAGGCUUUGACGGGUAGCCGGCCUGAGAGGGUGACCGGCCACAUUGGGACUGAAAUGAGGCCCGGACUCCUACGGGAGGCAGGGGUGGGGAAGGUUGCACAAGGGGAGGAAGCCUGAUGCAGCAACGCCGCGUGCGGGAAGACGGCCUGGGGGUUGGAAACCAAUGUCGCCUGUGACGAGGCGUGAGUGACGGUAACGGGAAAAGAAGCACCGGCUAACUACGUG
This 468-nucleotide ribosomal RNA is filed under the name uncultured bacterium. Its description in RNAcentral is "partial 16S ribosomal RNA". It matches the Rfam family "Bacterial small subunit ribosomal RNA", at positions 28 to 507 of the family's 1533-position model. The record is from RNAcentral.